This is a small nuclear RNA of Nicotiana attenuata, 160 nucleotides long. It matches the Rfam family "U1 spliceosomal RNA". From Rfam's summary of the family: U1 is a small nuclear RNA (snRNA) component of the spliceosome (involved in pre-mRNA splicing). Its 5' end forms complementary base pairs with the 5' splice junction, thus defining the 5' donor site of an intron. Lineage: Eukaryota; Viridiplantae; Streptophyta; Magnoliopsida; Solanales; Solanaceae. The record is from Rfam.
UUACUUACCUGGACUGGGUCAGUGAGCGAUCAAUAAGGCUCAUGGCCUAGGUUAGUGACCUCCAUUGUACUUUGGAGGGGUGCCCGCCUAAGAUCGAUCCAAGUGGUCGAGCCUACUUUAUAAUUUGUAGUAGUGGGGGCCUGUGUUCGCGCGGCCUGUC